CGAUGGAGGGGGAUAACUACUGGAAACGGUAGCUAAUACCGCAUAACGUCGCAAGACCAAAGAGGGGGACCUUGGGCCUCUUGCCAUCGGAUGUGCCCAGAUGGGAUUAGCUAGUAGGUGGGGUAACGGCUCACCUAGGCGACGAUCCCUAGCUGGUCUGAGAGGAUGACCAGCCACACUGGAACUGAGACACGGUCCAG
RNAcentral lists this ribosomal RNA (200 nucleotides) under uncultured bacterium. RNAcentral's name for it is "partial 16S ribosomal RNA". It matches the Rfam family "Bacterial small subunit ribosomal RNA", at positions 131 to 334 of the family's 1533-position model. The record is from RNAcentral.